RNAcentral lists this ribosomal RNA (425 nucleotides) under uncultured bacterium. RNAcentral describes it as "partial 16S ribosomal RNA". It matches the Rfam family "Bacterial small subunit ribosomal RNA", at positions 354 to 796 of the family's 1533-position model. The record is from RNAcentral.
GUGAGGAAUUUUCCGCAAUGGGCGAAAGCCUGACGGAGCAAUGCCGCGUGAAGGAUGAAGGCCUAUGGGUUGUAAACUUCUUUUCUCAGAAAAGAAUUAUGACGGUAUCUGAGGAAUAAGCAUCGGCUAACUCUGUGCCAGCAGCCGCGGUAAGACAGAGGAUGCAAGCGUUAUCCGGAAUGAUUGGGCGUAAAGCGUCUGUAGGUUGUUUAAAAAGUAUUCUGUCAAAGAUUAGGGCUUAACCCUAGAUAGGCAGAAUAAACUUUUAAGCUAGAGUGUGGUAGAGGCAGAGGGAAUUCCCGGUGGAGCGGUGAAAUGCGUAGAUAUCGGGAGGAACACCAAAGGCGAAGGCACUCUGCUGGGCCAAUACUAACACUGAGAGACGAAAGCGAGGGGAGCAAAUGGGAUUAGAUACCCUGUAGUCC